CAAAGGCCCUCUGGGCUGUGGGAGCUCCCAGCUCUCUCUCAGACAGGGCUGAGGUCUCUGGGAAGGCAGGUGUGGUCUAGAAGAUGAGGCUGCUGGGUCUUGUCCUGUGCCUGGUCACAGCUCCUCAAGGUGUCCUGUGCCAGGUGCAGCUGAAGGAGUCAGGACCUGGCCUGGUGAAGCCCUCACAGACCCUGUCCCUCACCUGUGCUGUCUCUGGUUACUCCAUCACCAGUGGUUACUGCUGGAGCUGGAUCCGUCAGCCCCCAGGGAAGGGGCUGGAGUGGAUAGGGUGCAUAGGUUAUGAUGGUAGCACUUACUACAACCCAUCCAUCAAGAGCCGAGUGUCCAUCUCCAGGGACACGUCCAAGAACCAGUUCUCCCUGCAGCUGAGCUCCCUGACCACUGAGGACACGGCCACCUAUUACUGUGCCAGAGACACAGUCCUGCUGCUGCUGGGCUCCACCUCAGGGACCAUGGCAGUGUCUGGGGUCAGUCUGGGUGUCUGCAGGGCAGUGGGCCUCUCCUGA
Marmota monax (woodchuck) is the source of this 527-nucleotide non-coding RNA. NCBI's taxonomy places the organism in Eukaryota, Metazoa, Chordata, Mammalia, Rodentia, Sciuridae. The record is from the annotation of a RefSeq genome assembly.